RNAcentral lists this unclassified non-coding RNA (171 nucleotides) under uncultured Eurotiomycetes. Its description in RNAcentral is "sequence contains ITS2". The record is from RNAcentral. Lineage: Eukaryota; Fungi; Ascomycota; Eurotiomycetes.
UCACACCUCAAGCUCUAAGCUUGUUUUGAGCUAUCUUGUUCUUUUGAUGAACAGGCUUGAAAUGCAAGUGGCGAUAUCCAGUUUGGUGCCCAGCAUUAUAGGGCUCUGUCACAUGCUUUAGUGGCCCAGACCGGUAUAUUCAGCCUUUUUAUAAAUUAAAUUCAAAAAGAA